Molecule: unclassified non-coding RNA, 60 nt
Filed under: synthetic construct
Source: RNAcentral
ACGAGGAAAAUAAAUGGUGUGUAUAGUGAAUAAAAAUAAGUGGUGCGGUACAGUCGACAC